This 21-nucleotide ribosomal RNA is filed under the name Rhizoctonia solani. RNAcentral describes it as "partial 18S ribosomal RNA". The record is from RNAcentral. Lineage: Eukaryota; Fungi; Basidiomycota; Agaricomycetes; Cantharellales; Ceratobasidiaceae.
CGCCUGAAUUUAUGAGAGUUU